RNAcentral lists this ribosomal RNA (253 nucleotides) under uncultured bacterium. RNAcentral describes it as "partial 16S ribosomal RNA". It matches the Rfam family "Bacterial small subunit ribosomal RNA", at positions 524 to 776 of the family's 1533-position model. The record is from RNAcentral.
GACAGAGGCCUCGAGCGUUAGGCGGAAUCACUGGGCUUAAAGCGUGUGUAGGCGGAUCGUUAAGUGCCUUGUGAAAUCCCACGGCUUAACUGUGGAACGGCUGGGCAUACUGGCGGUCUUGAGCCAUCUAAGGGCGACUGGAACAAACGGUGGAGCGGUGAAAUGCGUAGAUAUCGUUUGGAACGCCAAUGGUGAAAACAGGUCGCUGGGGAUGAGCUGACGCUGAGACACGAAAGCCAGGGGAGCAAACGGG